GGCCAUGCUGCUUGUAGAAUGUAGAUGAUGUGAAGUCUGAAUGGAAACUCCAUGAAUGGAUAUGAAUGUCGUGUGUUUGACGACCUUCCAUUUGUGCUGUAGAUAUACCAAUUUUUACCGUCUGCGGGAGAAUAUCAUUCAAAUUAAUGACUCGAUAUAAUUCGUUAACAUCGUGGGUGUCAGUCGUCACAACAGUCAAUGUCCUUCUUGAGAAGUCAUGUCGUAUUAUCACUUUAAUCAAUGAUCCACUCCUCCAUUUUGAUGGCACAAUUUUCAACCAAUUUCUAGAGGAUACAUCGAUUCCAACAUAUUCUUGUUGACAAUUUUCACCAACAAGAAAGAAAAUGAGUUCACCAGGCCGAGCAUUAUAAUUUUCGUUGUCCUUUAAGACGAACGAGAUGACGGAGACAAAGUUGGCGGUGUCACCGGUGUUUUUAUUUCAAAUAGGAAUUGCUGGUGAAUACAAGACCUUACUUACAUUCUUAUGGUAUUUAGGGCUGGUCAGUUCUAGUAUUCCAUUAGGUAAAAUCUGGGCAUUCCCUUGUAAGGUAAAAUUAUCGGCGGCUUGGCUGAAGUUUUUGACAUCAAAGGAAUAAUAAUUUGUGUCAAACCAUUGGGCAUUCCCUUCUCUUGAUUGCAAGAAAAUGAACAUUGAAAAAACUAAAAAGAGAACAGAAAAUAGAGUUUGAGUUGGAAGAUAUGAGCUAGAGAAAGCCAUGAUGCUGAAGUUUUGAUAUUGAAUUGUGAGUGAGCAUUUGUAAUUUGUCACUUGCAUGUACUUAAACACGCACUUGGGGCUAUUUUUUGAUUGCAAGUUGUCAUUUGUAUAUGUAUAUUUGACUUGUUCUCACACUUUUGAUACUUGUUCAAUCUCUCAAAGAGUAAUACAUUUAAAAAAAUAUUUUUAAAUAAAUGACAUUUUCAAUUCUCAAUAUAAUAUAUUUUUUUGUUUUAAGAAAAAAUUGUACGGUCUAAUUGAAAUUGCAUGCUUCCCAACAAUUUUAUAUAUCUAUUUUAGAUUAAUGUUGAUGCACUAAAGGUAGUUUAGUAAAAAUAUUUAUUUGUUAUCUUUCAUUUAUACAAUUCUUUUCCCUAUAUAAAAUGUUCUAAUAGGUCAUUCAUUAUGGAACGAAAGGAUUAAUUUUCUCGUACCAUUUCAAGAAAUCAUUCAUUUUUACUCAUCACAUUUGUAAUACAAAUUUGCUUAUAUAUAUAUAUAUAUAUAUAUAUAUAUAUAUAUAUAUAUAUAUAUUAUUUUUUUUUUGUGUUUAUUGUUCAAAUUGACCAUGUAACAUACAUGAUGUUUGAAAAAUAAUUAUGUAAAAUGCAAAACAAAUAUUCUAACCUUAUAAUUUGACGUUUUUCUAAUCCUGUAAAAAUUCAUAAUUAAUUCGUCUCUUGUCGAAAAGUUCUAAUUUUUUGUGUAAAACAAUAUUUUAAAGUCCUAAACAUGCAUGAAAAAAAAGCAUAAAAAAAUUCAAUAUCCAGAUCACUUUUUUGGACUUAAUGUACAUUAUAGGGUAAAAAAUAAUGAGAAUAUCAAAUUACAAGGUUAAAAUAUGUGUUUUUUAUUUUACAGGUUCAUUUUUGAGAUUUCAUAUAUAUUGCAAGGUCAAUUUAAACAAUUAACCUUUUUUUAGGAUAAGCAUGGUUGUUUCUAUUUACUUGUCAUUUUCAAAGUUCUUAUUUUGUCAUAAAUUGACGUAACUAUUUAUUAUAGAAAGAAACAUUUGAGAUGAGAUAAUAAAUAGUUAAUGAUAUUCUUGGAAAAAGCAAAAAAUUUAUAUAAAAUGUAACAAUUUUUGUCUUAUGAAAAUAUCGUGUGUGAACAUCAUUCCAAUAUCUUUUAAAAUGAUCAAUCAAAGGUUGCAAAUAUAUAUAUACCAAUUGUUGGACUAGAUGGACCUGAUAUUAAAUCAGCUAAAAUUAUGUAAUGUAUUGACAUGCACAUAUUAGGUGAAUGGUUGUAUGGGGUGACAAUAAUAGGCCAACAUGAAUAAUAAGUAAGUACUCGAUGCUCGUGUAUUUGCUGUAAAUACAUCAAAGGAUAACCCAAGAUGUACAUUGUGUGACUUUUGUUCACGUAUGUAAACAUGAAUUACAAUAGAUGAAAUAUUCACUGGAGCUGCCUAAAAGUAGCUCCAAGAAUACUCUAAAAUGACUAAGGUGAAAAUACAAUGUGUAGGCUAGAAUGAAUGGAAUCCCCUUAUUCUCUCUAGGUGUCUCCUUUUAUAAGCUUCACUUUCCUGACCUAAUGGGCAUCCUUUUAGAUGUCCAGGCCCAUUAAGCCUCCGAGGUCGCGCGUGGAGUUGAUAAUUUUUUAUGUUCAUUCGUACAAGGCGCGUGGAGUCAAGGGUACACAACUCACGUCACUUGUUUGUGUAGGAUGCGUGGCACAUUAUGAGACACCUUCAAGAGGAGGACCACAAGGUUGCUUGGACAACAACUUGAGAGAGAGCUAGUGAUGUUGAAAGAGGAGCUCACGUGACCUGAAAGAUCAAACUAAGCUAAGCAGGUGGAGCUCACGUGACCUGAACGAUCAAACUGAGUUGUACAUGUUGAAUAUUCAAUGUAUAGGAGAGUCCAUGUGGUAUGGUCCUCCAUACCAGUCCAUAGUUCACCAAGUGUCAAGUCUGUUAAGGCGUAGACUUUUGUUCUUCAUAGGAUUGACAUGUACCAAUCCACAUACUACUAAGCGUCAAAGCUGUCAAGGCGUAGACGUUUGUUCUUCACAGGGUUGACAUGUACCAGCCAACAGUCCAUAAUCACGUUUCUCUAUCACAUAAGGCUGAUCACUACCAAGUCCGUUAUGCUUUUCAAUUGACUUUUAUACAAUACAUAUAAGGACAUUUCUUUGUAGACCUUUUGUCCACUCAGCGUUGAUUGUGCCUUUCUUUCUCAGCCGCAAUCUCCAUUUCCUUUUAUCUAUACUAUUUAUCUGCUCAGCUCCUCUAUUCGGCCCUCAUUUCUAUUCAGUCAUCAUCUCUCCUCGAUCUCCUCGUUGUUCAUGCAGAUCAGCUCGGUUGUCAUACUGCUCGACCUCCUUUUGCUUCAUCAACGUCUUCCCCUUUUGGCAGAUAUGCUCAUCCACUUCUAUCUGAUACCGAUCUCCUCGGUAUCUCUUCUCGGCGCCAUGCUUAAACUCCCAUCUUGUUCGCAUAAAUUGGUAUAUCUAGCGUUGGUUUAAAGAUUCCUCAAUUUCUAUAUCAUGCUUACUUUCCCAAACACCCUACAACGUAAUCAGUGCGUCCAUUGCAGCUAAAAGACCACAAAAGAUCAGCCAAUACAUCUCCCCCUUUUAAGUUCAUAUUACAUUUUAUCUUCAUGUUCGGCUCGGCAUCUAUGUAGCUCGGCCAUGGAUCUGCUCGGCCUCUUAGCAGCUCGGCCAUUCAACCCGUCCUCUGCCUCUUUGCAGCUCGGCUAUACUUUUUCACCUUAACUAGCUCAACUGAUUUGAGAUAAAGGAAAAAGAGUUGAAGGUCCUUAGUUCAAACUCGGAAGAAGUAAAUAGUAAUGUAAGAAACUAACUACCUAUGAAGCACGAACACUCCUUGGAUUAGGCGUGUCUUGGUGUCCGACACCGACACGACACUUGUAAUUACAUUGAAUUAUGUUUUUUCAAAUUAUUAGCGGUGUCGACGUGUCAGUGUCCGUAUCGUGUCUGGUGUCCGUGUCCGUAUCCGUGCUUCAUAGCUAACUACAAAUAUUACCAUUUAAAAAAAAACUAGCAUUUACCAGGGUUUGCUUCAAAUAUAAUUUACCGGUGUCAAGUCCUAAACUGAUUUUUUUGCAAGUGUUUGCAAUUUCUCAUAGAUUACACUUUUGAAUACCCAACACAGUGUACCUUGGUGAUUUGUAUAUUUUGAAUGAGUUUUUUUAUAGACAAAUGUUAGCAAUUAGUAUUUCCAUCCGUGCAACGUACGGGCGAACAAAGAUUUUUUGUAGCGUUAACAAAUUAUUACUUUGAGCAUAUCAAAAAAUUAAAAACAUACAAUGCAAUUCUUAGAUAAAUCAAAUGUUACUGUCUUCAUGAAAAUAAAGAUGGCAUGCAUCGAUGUAUCGUUCGGUUUAAUUUAAAACGAUUACACAAUAUUAGCCAAUAAUAAUUAAAUUAUUACAUAAGUUAUAAGUGACACAAAAAAGUAAUCGGCACUUGAAAGAACAAUUAAUCCAAAACAAAAAUCCUUCUUGAAGAUAGAUGCAUUAUUGCUUGAUAGCUCCAAGAACUCAUCUUUGGAAUAGCUUCCCUGUGCCGCUUUCCAACCACACAACCAGUGCAAAUAACAGGGGAAUCCUUGAGCACCAGUAAUCCUCAUAUCGUCCCUUACACAUAUGUUGCCGAAUCACACAAAUCAGACCCUUCUGCUGAAGCUGACCAACAUUAAAGAGAUUAUUUUGUAAGGAGAAAUGAUAUUUAUACAACCAUUUUUUGAUAACUUUUGCAUAACUUUCUCUCUCAUACUCACAUGACAUUCUUAUUAUCUCUCUUACUAUUUCUCUCUCCAUUGUUUUUGACCAAUAGGAAGAGAAAAAAAUAAAGUUGUCACCAAAAUUGUCAUCAAUUGGAUGUACAAAUAUCACUACUCUAGAAUAAAAGCUCACAAAACAUAGUUUUAAAACAUUGGUUGCAUAGCUCAGCAUAUAGAAAUUACUCAAUGUACUAAACCAUAUUCAAGAGUUCUAAAACUCAACCACGCAACUUCAUUGGUCAUUUGCAACUAAAAUGUCAGUAGCUAUCCCAGCGGAAUAUUUCAUACAAAUGUUAGCAACUUAUCUCCUUAAUAGUGGCGACGGGUGGUUAUGUGUAUCGUUCUUCAGUGGUUGUUUUGUGAAAGAGUCUGUUUUAGGGGGUGAUGUUUAUGGGUGUAGGGGUGUUUUGUUUGGAGUGUAUUUUCGGGUAUUCCGCCUAUAUACAACGCCUUUUAGUUUGUAUUCUCUGAAUCACCGGUCUCAGUUCGUCUUAAGCAGGAAUCUGUUUUUUAAAUAAAAUUUGCCGUUUAAAAAAAAAAACUUAUCUCCUUACACCGCUUCCAAAAUUGAAGGGGAAUAUUUCAUAUAAAUGAUAAUAGUGAGGCCAAUGGUAAACUUCGAAAAGUGUUGUUUAAUUUGGCUGAUCACAAUGCAAAUUGCCGGUGCAAAAUGUUCCAGGUUGAAGGAGUAUAUGGUAGACAAAUAUGUUAUGUUGUAAAGGGGAAGGAGAGAGAAAAUGGGAAAUUGGAAGGUGUUAGGAGUGAGAAUUGAUUAAGAGAAACUAAGAUAAAAAUUAUACUAUGCAGAGAAAGAUGUAGAAUAGUUUUGUGAAAAAGGUUCCUAAUUUAACCAAAUGAUUGAGAUUAAGUGAAUAAUAAGUUCACCUAGAAGGAAUUGUUUUGCGAUACUUUAAUGAUCUCAUGAUCGAACUUAGAGUAACUAGGACUCAUUUUUACUAAGAAUAGGAGGGUAACACAAUUUUUCCCCCAAUCCCAAAUUUCUUUAUCUACCGCAGGAGAAACAUGUAAUUAGAGAGUUCAUUUUCGUUCUCGUUUGAUACUAGCGUGUUAAUAGCAUCAGGUUCAGCAAUAGUGAUAUCCCCAACAUAUCAAAACUAGUUGUUACCCCAUGAGUAGUAGGAGAUGUAAGUAUUGGUACAUAGAAUAACUUUUGAUUGAUUCGAUUAAUUAGUUGUUAUUAAGUUAUGAAUAAGUUGAUACGGUUUCAUCAUCACUUAAGUAGAUUGUAAUUUUUCAUUUAUUAUUAUAAUUUAGAACCCGAUUCGAGUUGAGAUUUUUAUAGAUUAGUUUAAACAACCAAUUCAAUGAGUCGAUUAGCCAAAAUCUAAUUAAGCAACAUUAGCUCAAAAAUAACAUAUUUCAACAAUUGCCUUUAUUUAGAAUUUUAUUUAAAAAGAGAAAAACUGAAACAUGGUUCACAUAGGCUAUAUCUAUAUAUAGGUAGCACAUAUAGUUCUUAUAAUUAGACAUAUUAUACAAGUUAUCAUAACAACCAAUCAUGCAUAAAAUAUAUAAAAAAUAAUAAUGCAUAGCUUGCAGUAUCAACGUUGAUGCCUCGGGCCAUGCUUGCAGAUGAUAUGAAGUGUGAAUGGAAACUCCAUGAAUGGAUAUGAAUGUCGUGUGUUUCACGUCCUUCCAUCUGUCCUGUAGAUAGACCAACUUUUACCAUCCCCGGGAGUGCAUCUUUCAAAUUAAUGACUCGAUGAAAUUCGGUAAACUCGUGGGUGUCAGAUGUCAUAACAGUCAAUGUCUUACUCGAGGAGUCAUAUCGUAUCACCACUUCAAUCAAUGAUUCACUCCUCCGUGUUGAUGGUACAAUUUUCAACCUAUUUCUAGAGUAUACAUCAACUCCAAUAUGCGAAUACUUUAGAUCAUCUUGUUCAAAAUUUUCACCAACAAGAAAGAAAACGAGUUCACCAGGCCAAACAUUAUAAUAUUCGUUGUACUUUAAGACAAAUGAGAAGACGGAGACAAAGCUGUUAGUGUCACCGGUGUAUUCAUCCCAAAUAAGAAUUGAUGUUGAAUACAAGACCUGACUUACAUUCGGGUAUGUAGGGCCGAUCAGUUCCAGUAUUCCAUUUGGUAAAAUCUGGGCAUCCCCUUGUAAGGUAAAAUUAUCGGUGGUGGCUUCGCUGAAAUUUUUGACAUCAAAGGAAUAAUUUGAGUCAAACCAUUCGGCAUUCCCUUCUCUUGAUUGCAAGAAAAUGAACAUUGAAAAAACUAAAAAAAGAACAUAAAAUAGAGUUUGAGUUGGAAGAUAUGAGCUAGAGAAAACCAUGGUGCUAAAGUUUUGAUAUUGAAUUGUGAGUGAGAGCAUUUGUAAUUUGUCAAAUGUAAUAUACUAAUAUAUAAUAAUUUAAUAAAAACUAAAAUACAUAUUUAACAAGAUUCGAAUUUGGGGGUAACGUACAAAAUUAUUCAUUAUUAUAAAAAUUAGUAUAAAUCAGAGAUAGGAUUCAGAUCGCUUGCUAAUCUGCUUCAUGCAGUAGGCGAUCUAGAUCGUUGAAAUGCGAUCCAACAACUCCGAUUUAAGUAGUGUAAUUUGACCAAUUUCACAUAGAUUUAAUCUUAGUCGUUCAUUCGUGAACGGGAGGUCGAUAACAAAUAUACA
This 7101-nucleotide long non-coding RNA is filed under the name Medicago truncatula (barrel medic). RNAcentral describes it as "lncRNA gene22943". Lineage: Eukaryota; Viridiplantae; Streptophyta; Magnoliopsida; Fabales; Fabaceae. The record is from RNAcentral.